Long non-coding RNA from Acanthopagrus latus (yellowfin seabream), 1294 nucleotides. RefSeq lists it as uncharacterized. The transcript has 3 exons. The record is from RefSeq and is a predicted model, not a curated record. NCBI's taxonomy places the organism in Eukaryota, Metazoa, Chordata, Actinopteri, Spariformes, Sparidae.
ACAUGAUGACACAACUAGAUUAAAGUGAAACUCUUUUUGGCGAGAGUUUCACUUUAACUAGAUUGACAAGCUACAGAUCAGAAUAUGAUCUCUGUUCUACCCACACUGUGCAUGGUGUAUGUAUCAGGUCCCCUUAAAGUACCCAUCAUGCACAGUGCGCACAGGAGCCCCUCAUGGAACAGGUGACUCCAAACCUGCACGGCUCCUGGUUUCCUGUGUCAAUGUGUUUUUAGUGUACACGUGUAUCCAACCAGGAAGCACAGUGCAAACUGGAGUAAUACAGAUGUGAACCUGCUUCACAGGGCAGGUCUCAGUAUAUGAGAGUGAGACGGUGCUUCAGCUGGUCAAGAACAAAUCUGUGGACAAACACAAAAUACUGAUGUGUCUGUAAAACUGUUCUCUGUGAUGAUCAUUUAGAACAAGGUGAAUACCAGAGACACCUCCAGCCUCUGAUGAGGACAGUGAGAUCUGGAUGAAGGCCUUGAGAAAACUAGAUCCUUGUGUCAGACUCCUGAUGUAAUGCUUCGAGGCCUCAUCCAAGACGGGGAGAAAUAGAUAUCCGACCGGUCCAAUCACUACAACCCGAAGCAUUCUCAAAAUUGCGAAGUUGGCUUGAAGAAAGUGCUCCCAGCCCUCUGCAGCGGCGCAGGAUGCAGGUUGGGUUGAGGUUGAGGCCCCGCGAUGAUCCCAAGAAGAGGGUCAAGUGUUGAAGCCUUCUCCUACUCAGCCAGUGAACCGUCUCUCACCGCAGUGAUUUGUCCUGGCUACAGCGUAAAGGUCCCAUAAAUAAAAAUUUUAACUACCUCACAAUUGAAAUGACCAUCACAUAUCUUUAAUGGAAAUUUCUGACUGUCAGUACUCUCUUUCUAGCCUUUCUAGCCAUAUAGGAAAAAAAAGUUCCUCCAACUAUCCUGUUUAAUGUCACUAACUAGCAUAUGUUUCUUGUUUAAGAAUAAAAAAUCUUUGGGUUAUAGUUCUAGCCCAUCAUAAGAGGUUGUAAAAACAAGUUUUGCAUUAAUAAUAUGCAUAUUCUACAUCAAAUUGUUAUGUGAAAAUAAAGUAAAACAAAAGCAGAGAAACUGGACAUGCAACUGCCACAUGUGUGAUGUAAAAUGAUAGAUAAUGAUUCAAAUUAGGACAACAAACAUUUGUCCAAAACCAAAACAAAUAAGCAAUGUGUUGCAGCAAAUGCAUCACUAUUAACAGUAAAAAAACAGACAUGUACGUGAAUAUGUACACAGCACUAAAAGGAUUUCUGUAAAAUUUGGUGACAUUUUUACAUUUACUAUAUCAA